Long non-coding RNA from Myotis lucifugus (little brown bat), 425 nucleotides. RefSeq lists it as uncharacterized. The record is from RefSeq and is a predicted model, not a curated record. Lineage: Eukaryota; Metazoa; Chordata; Mammalia; Chiroptera; Vespertilionidae. The transcript is spliced from 3 exons.
CGCGGGCCAGGCACGCGGAGUUGCUCGCUGUCCCUGCUGGGAGCGCAACUCGAAGUCCUCGACGGCCGCUUGUUAUCCAGAGGAAAGCGAACACAAUAAACCUUCCCUGGAGAAGGGAGAGGCAGGAGCAGGUCUCUGUUCCAGAGGAUGGAAAUAUAUCUCAGCCUCCCAGUUAAGCCCUGAAGUUAGAAACCCCUGAAAAGAGAUUCCCUGAACUCGGGCAUAUACUCAGAGCAGAACAAGACAACAUUGUUCCCAGCAAGACUCAGAUGAAAGAUUUUCUCUAAUAGCCAGUAGUAGAUUUCUGAAUUGUUCUGUUUGCUUAUCUAUAUUUUGAAUGGGGAGAAUUUCUUGCCAGUUGAACUUCAAGUUGUAAGUAAAAAAGCCUAUCUUGAUGUCUCCUAGCAACAAUUUAUGAAACACUU